GCUUUGCAUACAUCUACAAGUGAUCUGUAAAAAAAGUUUUCAUUAGUCAUUGCUUCCACUAGGAGAAAAUUGCUGAUGACUGUAUGCUAAAAAAUUUAAAAAGCAUGAGAGGAUGUCUGAAAUUCUCAAAGCUGGGUUAGCUGUGAAUGGUGAACAGAUUUUAAAACUUGCUUUUCUCAUUUGAUAAUUAAUUAUGUGGUUCAAAAUUUAGUAAUUGUUUCCCCUAGAGUUAGGGUGGGGAAGUUGCACUUUUGGUCCAAGGAUUAAUUUAAUCAUAAUCAGACUGAACUAGUUCUUUAAUUUAUAAACACUCAUUCUUUUUACGUGGGAGUUGAUGUAACUCUUGUAGUUGCAAAAUCUGUGUGAUCAUCGGGUUUAUCGAUGUCAUCUGUGACAAACGUGUGUGCACUGCACUGAUUGUCGCAAACACAUGCUUGAAUUUUUAGUUUAAUUCCUUUUAUUUUUCUCUUUUUUUUCCUAUUGCAUUUCAGGCA
This 494-nucleotide unclassified non-coding RNA is filed under the name Hevea brasiliensis (rubber tree). The record is from RNAcentral. Lineage: Eukaryota; Viridiplantae; Streptophyta; Magnoliopsida; Malpighiales; Euphorbiaceae.